UACCUAACAUUAUACAAUAAGCAAAAGCUUGAUAUAGUUAUAGACUUAAGAGUUGGUUAAUUAGUGCCAGCCACCGCGGUUAUACAUAAAACUCAAACCAAGAAAACCAUGGGUAUAAAGGUGACUAGAGAUAAACUCAUUUAGGGUAGAAAAAAACUUCAGUAUUAACAAGCUUCUACAGUAAACUAAUUACAACUACAAUGUCACCCUAAACUCUUUCAACUCAAGACACCAAAGCUCAAAAAUAAACUGGGAUUAGAUACCCCACUAUAUGAGCCGUAAAAAAUCAACAACACCAGAGAACUACGAAUUAAAGUUUAAAACUCAAAGGACUUGGCG
RNAcentral lists this ribosomal RNA (339 nucleotides) under Astropecten armatus. RNAcentral describes it as "partial 12S ribosomal RNA". It matches the Rfam family "Bacterial small subunit ribosomal RNA", at positions 355 to 915 of the family's 1533-position model. The record is from RNAcentral. Lineage: Eukaryota; Metazoa; Echinodermata; Asteroidea; Paxillosida; Astropectinidae.